GAUGAAGAACGCAGCGAAAUGCGAUACUUGGUGUGAAUUGCAGAAUCCCGUGAACCAUCGAGUCUUUGAACGCAAGUUGCGCCCGAAGCUAUUAGGCCGAGGGCACGCCUGCCUGGGCGUCACACGUCGUUGCCCCCCCAUCUACUCCUUCGGGAUUGCGGGGGGCGGAUGAUGGCCUCCCGUGCGCCUCGUCGCGCGGUUGGCAUAAAUGCCAAGUCCUCGGCGACGCACGCCACGACAAUCGGUGGUUGCGAAACCUCGGUUGCCCGUCGUGUGCGGUCGUCGCGCAUCGAGGGCUCGAAAAAAUUGCCGGGCUCCGGCUCGGCUUUCAACGCGACCCCAGGUCAGGCGGGGUUACCCGCUGAAUUUAAGCAUAUCAAUAAGCGGAGGA
Molecule: unclassified non-coding RNA, 391 nt
Filed under: soil metagenome
Description: partial contains 5.8S ribosomal RNA, internal transcribed spacer 2, and large subunit ribosomal RNA
Rfam family: 5.8S ribosomal RNA (bases 1-122)
Source: RNAcentral